This 4209-nucleotide long non-coding RNA is filed under the name Triticum aestivum (bread wheat). Its description in RNAcentral is "long non-coding RNA (TAES_LNC007225)". Lineage: Eukaryota; Viridiplantae; Streptophyta; Magnoliopsida; Poales; Poaceae. The record is from RNAcentral.
UCCUCUCCGCUCUAAAAUGAGGUGUAAACAAAAAUCCCGAAGGAAAAAAAACCACCCUCAAAGCUCGGACGCACGUCGCACGUCCCACCAAAUCCCACCCCCGCGCCCCCAAAUCCCAACCAUCUUCAUGUGGAUCCAGCUUCUCUUCCCAAGGAAAUCGCAGCAGUCGGCCUCCUCCCUCGCUCGACUCGGCAAAUCUGACGAGACCGAUGGCUCCUUUUUGCCUCUCACCCACGACCCUCUCACUUUCUCACCGCCGACCAGCAUGACGUCCUUACAACAUCUCAGCGGUGGCUGCGUUGAGGGCGCGUACGGAUGAGUAGACCAAGUACAAGGACGAGGGGAGGGCCAACAACCCGGACUUCAGAACGUUAUGUCAAAGGUGCGUCGACCUUGUUCCUCUCCUUCGUUUUUGUGAAUUUCCUGCCUGUGAGAAAUUUUGAUAAGGGGUGUCUUUCUUAUCUUCUUUAGCAACACACCGUAGGAUUCUCUUAAAUGCUUACCGGGAUCAUCCUUGCCUUAUCUUUGAGACAGCCAUGAUUGAUUGGGCGUUUUGACUUCAGAAUUGUGUCGUGGGAUUAAUUUUGUGCAAAACUGCAGAUUGCAAUCUCAGUGGACGAUUGAUUUUUAGAUCAAGUGGAGAAUAAAUGAUUCUUUAGCAUUUGUUUGUUCACAAACAUAUUGCCAUGGGUCUGAUGGCAGAUUGACUAAACCAUUGUAAUCAGACACAAUGAGAGUUCCUGGAUCAAUAAUUGUUUCCUGGAAAUUGAGAAAAAAAUCCUUAAUAGUUAUGAACCUGGAAGGCUUACUCCUCUUUUCAAUAAUUUUAAUUUAUCAAAAACAUGUUCGUGUUACCUGAAAUGCUAACAAGCUAUGAAGUGUUACCUACAUGUAAUAAGUAGAUCAUUUGUCCCUCUGUCAAACAGGUGAUCCUUGGUCAAGGUAUAUAAACCACUAGCAGAUAUAAAAUUCUGAAACCAAUAUUUAACCUCGUCGGUGCCUUUGGCAGAUGGCAAUGCCUGCACGUAUCAAACUUUACUUGCCGUGAGAUGGAUUGAAUCUUAUAGGAGCGUAACUAGCCAAAGCUAGCUCGAAUCGGUGAAUUGAUUGAUUGGUUAGCAACACACACACAUAUUAAAGCUGAUUGGUAACAUGCCUGUUAUUCAUGUUUCUUCAACUCACGGUGGUUAUGAACUAUGUUUAUAUUUCUUCAACUCAUGGCGAUUACAAGCUAGGAGCUAUAUGCAUUUAUGUAAGCUUAUAUAGAAGAUGACUAAGUAGAGUUAUGAUUUCUAUACUACUCGGACAAGAGAUCCCUGCUUACCUCUGACAAUUAGUGAGAUCUUGAGGUAACAAAAAGAGAGGACUAGCUAGCCCAUUACUAUUGUAUCCAGAUUCAUUCUGCUAACUGAUGAAGUUCUGAGCUACCAUCUACCAUAGUGAUUUAUUGAUAUAGUCCAUGUUCUCCUUUCCAUUAAUAGUGAAUGGAAUGGAUACGGAAAUAUCCUAAUUCUUGUUGGUCAGCUCGAGUAGUAAUUUUUUCGAUUGUUCCCAUUAUUAUUUCAUAUAUGCUAGCUUGCUAUCUUGUAUAGCUUAUUUCAUAUAGGGGGUCAACCUUAAAAAAGGUAUAAUGUUACAGAACCAUGUUAAUUGAGUUGGCACGAUAUUUUGUCUGUUUCAAAAUGCUCACUCAGAUCUUGGUUUUCUACUACAGAAUUUGACUAUUGUGCGUGCUUUCGUUCAUGAAGGUUCGACCUUCAAGUCUUAACAAUUACCCUUUCAAACAGGCAACACUCGGGACGUGCUCAAUCCUGUUUUUUGGGUCAAUUAAUUCAUAUAAUCUUGAUCAUUCGUGCAAAGCAAUUGUUACUGUAUGGUGAUGUUGUACAAACCUUUGGUAAUUGCAUGUUUUAUAAUUGAAUUUAACUGUUGAAGUUUAUGCCAAAGUAGGUUCCACUUGUUGUGAUGCUUUAUUGGUAACUGACAAGGGUUAAUAACUUAUUCCAGUUAAUUCUAUACAUUUCAAACAUUUGCAACUGGAGUAUUCUCUUGCUUAGUGUUUUUUACAUUGUGGUGUUACCUUUUUACGAAGAUGAGAGCGAGAUAGAUGUUGAUACUGCUGCUCCAACAUCUCAAGUUUCAAUCAAGCAUGGUCUGCUGAUAUGGAGAGCACAAGACCUGAACUUCAGUUCCUGGAACAAGUGAGAAAAUCUUAUUGCCUUAUAACUAUUUCCAUCUCAUUUUCCAAUAAAGAUGAUUAGGUAUUGAAGUCUAAAUUGUGUCUUAAAGUUGCUUUGGUUACUCUGGAUGUAUUGAAUUUCUUCAGUUACAUUAAGAUUCAAAUUAUAGAUUUUGCAAGUUAUUAGGGGGUAUCCCAAUGGACAGGACGCCCGCGAGUGGCAGUCAUCUUGAUCUGGUGCGGUACCAUCACGAACAUCGAGACGGGGAGGCAGGCUGGAGGCCAGGGCGGCAUCGGGCAAAAGCAUGGUGAGCGUGGCUGUGGUAUUGUACCGUGAAACAGCUGUGUUUGUGGCUGUUCUGUGGUGGUGACUCGUAGCUAUUGGAGCAGGGCCAGCGUCUGAUAAGCAAGCAAUGGUUCUUGAGCGCCACUGAAGCAAGCAAUGGUGCUUGAGGUUGCGGGGCCGAGCAGAUAUACAUGAGUGGUACGCAUCUCAUUUUGUCGUCGGGUUCUAAAUGAUCCCUCGAGUUUGCAGCUAUUUGUAUUUACGUUACAAAAGCAUACAUUCAUGGUUUAUGCCCUUUUUAAGGGUCUAGCGGAACUAAAGAGAAAACCAUCAUGUAACCAAUUUUGAAAAUUGAGUUUGAGUUUGAACCAAGAAAAGUUUACCAAAGAAGACAUCAAGGAACUUAUAUUUGGGGAGAUAUUGGAGUACCACCCUUAGCUUCUGAAGGAUUACAUGAACGGCUCUGGAAAAAUGAGCUUUCCAUAUGCUAGGUUUCUGUGACAUGCUUGUAAACUUUUCUCUAUUAUUUUGUUUAUGCAGCAACAUUCACAACUUUUUCCAUUGGCUCUUGAUUUUUUUGUUAUCCAGUGAUGUUGACCAUUUCUGGAGGCAAUUCGCUGACUAAGAAGAUGUUGCUGGGAAGAGUGGGGCAGUCAACAUGAAGCGUGUUUAUCUGAGGUGGCAACUUAAAUUCUCACAUUUUUCCCGAUUGUGAUCAGUUCAAUCUAUAUAUCAGUGUAACAAUGACUUGUGCCGCCAUACGUAGCUUGUGCCAAAAUUGGUCAGAAUUACUACCAAAAUGCCUUAGUUAAUAGGCUUUCCAACAAAGCAGGCUCGUGAUAUUGCAAAGGUUUAUUCAUGCAUAAUACGAAUUAUUGUCUUGCUUCACGGAUUUUGAAAAUUGGUGAUUUUGAUUUUGGGGUGACGUAGAUUUUAGAAUUUUUCAUAUACCGACCUGGUAUUAUUUUUCCAUUUAACUUCAAACAACAUCAGUCUAACUAUUUCGUCGUUGCCACUCUGGCAGCUGGACCAGACAGAGUGGCUUCGUCACGACAUCAAUGCAAAGUGCACGUAUAACUGAUUGACACAUUGGAUGAAUAGGGAAGGGAAUUGACGUAAUACUGCUCUUGCAUGCAAGAACACCUGCAGGGGAUACAUAAUCACUUCAGGCACGCAAGGUCACAUCAGAGAUUGGCAUGCUGUCCUCGGACUAUUACAUUCCACCAUUCAGCAGCAUAGCCACAGCGGGUGGAUAUGACAUGGUUGUUGUGGCAACAAGAAUGUACUACGACAAGGGUCGGGCAAGCUUGCAGUGUCGAGCAUGAGAAGGGAGCCCGAGAACGGCUACAGUUCCUGUUCCAGGCAGAGAUUCAGGGUCCAGGGGCACAUGGUAAAAUUUAUCCCUUUUUCUGAUUUUUUUAUAGUAGAUACUGUAGGAAACAACGGCUGUCUUGUACAUAUGGCAACACUUCAUUUUCUCUGUUCUGCUGUCUGAAGCUGCUGAUGCUCCUGCUUAUGUUAAUACUAGAUAGUUUUGUCAGAGUGGACGUAGUAGUACCUAUGUUUGAGAUGAAGUUGUAGGUUGUAGAGUUUCCUUGUCUGGAUUCUAUGAUGUAAUUUAAUUAUUUUAUUUUAUUUUUCAGUUGUAGCCAACCACAUGUAAUCUUGUGAUUCCCUUCUUAUAAUGUUGAAAUAGACAUAUUUUUUUGUCAGAUAAAUAAUUUGCGUAUCAGUAACUGAUUUU